UGACUCAGUGUGCUCUUAAGCUUAUUCAGAACACAGAGAAGGCUGACAGACUUCAUUUUAUUGUUCAUCUAGGUCAGUAAUUCCCAGAGGAGAAAGUGUCUACUUGAGACUUGGAGUUUUAGAAUGCCUGUCUUAAAAAGCCUCCAGAAAGGAGCUGUGAAACACAUAUUGAUUUUGGCAUUGACUUCAGUGUAUCUCAAACAGGCUGAUUCUACAGAAUUUGUUUCAAAGCAUUUCUUCUAUGACUUGAUGCCUUUCUGCCAAGCAAAAUUGAUCAUUUCUGACCAGAAGGCGCUGAGCUGAAGGAAAGUGAGGAGGCUCUUGGCCGCGGCAGGCACACUUUGGCUAUGCGUGGGGGGCUUUUAAUUUUUCGCUUAAGCUCUCCUGGUCACCGUGCUGUGUGUCCCGUUUUGGGAGGCUGUUUGGAGGGCACAUUUGGUGCAGCCUCCUAGUCCUGGAGCUAGUAGCUGGGUCUUUAGAUGUCUGUUUCCUUGGUAUUCUGAUGAGUAGAUACCUGGGAUCUUCCCUGACGGUUGGCUCUUGUUUUCUCUUGUCUCGUGACAUCUGCUGUGGUUGAGUUGGUUGUGCUGAUGUGUUUUCACCAGCAAUACCUGGUCUGCUUUGUUGUUCUAUCAGAAGUAUGUUAGUCCCAGUCUGACAACUUCCCUGAGUGUCUAGGACAGUCGUUCUCAACCUGUGGGUCACGACCUCUGUAGGGGAAGGGAAUGUCACACAUCAGAU
Molecule: long non-coding RNA, 741 nt
Filed under: Mus pahari (shrew mouse)
Lineage: Eukaryota; Metazoa; Chordata; Mammalia; Rodentia; Muridae
Description: predicted gene 11455 (MGP_PahariEiJ_G0003401.1)
Source: RNAcentral